AAUGCUUGAGCCUUUUUGCUCUUUGGUUUAUCUUUAAGAUGCUCAAAUAUGGUGUAAAACAGGACAUGAUUUCCUUAUUUUGCUGUUAUAGCAAGGUUUGUAAGAGUUCCCAUACCAGCUUCAUCAUUGUAAUCAAAGUUUCAUUCUUUGCAUCAUAUUCUGCUGAGUCAAAAUUGCCUGGCCUGGUAAAAGUUACAACAUCUGUAAACAACGGUAACGAUACAGAAAUGGUGUUAAUCAGGUGUGAAACCUCUGCUGCACCUCCAGAGUGCUACAGGUGCUUUGAGCACACACAUCCUGCACACAAAUAACCUCCCCGCAUCACGCCUGUGUCCAAAAUGCAAAGUCCACUGCUUUGGCAGUGAGGCUUUAUGGUAUUGUGCCCAAUCUCUAAGUAGAUGCAAAAUCACGGACAGCAUUAUAUCCUGUUAACUCAUUUUGAAUAUAUUAUUAAGUGUUUAUUGGUACCAAAAGGGCGUAAUUAAAUAGCAUGCCAACUGCAGAUGAAGACUGUAUUGCUGAUAGCUCAUGGCACAGGAGAUGAGUGAAUUUUAUUAAUUUCAUCAUUUCCAAUCCUCAGCAUUAUAAAGAACUCAGACAUUUCCUAUUACAGCUGCAGAUCUACCUUAAUGUCACUAAAGCAAUCAUAGGUAUAAACUGAAAAAUAAUUAAAGGCCUGGUGACAACUUGAUAACACUGGAUAAUUAAAGUGUUGGUAACAAAAUCUGAAUUUUAAUUUUUCUCACUAUACCUGAUACUAGAAAAUGAGAUGGAAAACAUCCUCACUAUAGGAAAGCUCACCCACGAAUAUUUAAGGAGCAGGUGCCAGAGCUGAGCACUGAUUUUCCUGAAACAUUUGGUGCUGGUCCUGCCAUGAUCUGUCACACCUGCCUGGGCUCUACGCCACCUCCCAGUUCAGUGGUCAUGCCCCUGCUGGGGGAAUCAGCUCAAAAACUGCUUGGGGAAAAGGAAAUGAGAUUUUGAGGCUGGGUGGGAGAGCAAGGACAUGUGGAGGGGGCCAGGACAUCAUGGCGUGUUGUUGUGUCGGUGCCCACAAAGGCAAAUUUGCCUCUACUAAGUAUAUAUAUUAAUAGUUUGACAUUGCUUCAAAGACGUGUUUAAACAACAUUGCUGAAGUCUCUAAGCUGUACCAUGAGUACAAAGAGCACCAGAGAGUGAGCACCGAAGACCAUUUUGGCUCUGGUUGCAUCCUUAGUGCUAGGACUGGCAGUGAGUGCCUCUUCAACUCUGUUAUCUCUUCUACUUCUGAUCCUUUCUAGGUUAUCUUAUUAUCCUCUGUAUCCUUGCCACCUCAUUCGGAAGCUCUUUAAACCAGUCUAUUCAGUCUUUACUUGAGAUUCCAGUGAAAAUCAAAUUGUAAGUAGAAAACAAGCAAGAGUUUUGGUAGGACUGGGACACAGGUGAUGUCUGGGGAAUGGAUAUCUGCCUGCCUUCCCAAAGAGCAGUAAAUCUUGAGAUGAAAUAAAGCACAAAUACCCCAGAAAACACAGAUUCUGCUCCCAGAAACCAAUAAUCCCAGGUAGCAAAAGGGGAGCUGUCAGGAGGCAGGGAGGAAAAGGAAAAGUAUUUUGCUGGGGGCUUGCAGCUCCUGUGCUGCAGGGAUAUUCUCCAUGAAGCCUACUCCCACAAUUACAAGUUUCUCAGCCAUUUCUGUAAUUCACACAGUCUCUCCCUGCUGGAGCCGCAGGUAGCUCCAUACAGGACUCACCUGCGGCACCCAAGGGACGGGCUAGGGGUGGCAUGGGGUAGUGGGGAGCCCCAAAAAAGCAGCAGCACUUCUUUUUCUUUUUAAUGAAACCCAGCAAUCAAUUUUUAGCAGCUCAUGGAGAAGCGAUUUGAAAUACAAAGCAGUUUCCUCUCCUUCUGCCCCCCAGUUCUGAAAUCGUGGCUUGCUCUGAACUGAUGGCUUUAUCUGCGUGCUUUAGGCACAGUGGGUAAGAAGGACAGUUCGUCACUUAAAUAUGUGAAUGCUUCUCCCAGUCUUCUAGAUUUAUCAUUCUGAUACAAGAUUAUUUUGCUUUUAGGGUACUUACCAAAGCCUUUUCUCUCAGACUCCCUGUCGGAGCUGAUUUUUCAGCCCGAGGCACUCUGACUCCCCUUCCCCUUCCCCUACUCACCAGCUGCCGAAAGCUUUCACGAAAUUGCCUUUAAAUGAACCUGUGCCUGGACUUCUUUCAAAGCAUCCGGGUGGUUCCUGAGGUCUCUUCCAACGCGAGCUUUUCUAUGGUCCCAGGAUUCUACGAGUCAUCUUUAGGGUGCCCCAUCAUAUCCCACUGGCUGGAAAUUUACCAUUAAAAACAUGCUAGGAGAGCUUUUUCCCAUUCACCUGACUCUGGGAGCUGGGAAUUAACGAGAGCUCCAACAUCCCAAUGCUGGGUGCUCGGUGCAGCAGCCCAAGGCCAGGGCUGGUGCAUGUAGGGGCCCUCGUGCACUGCGUGUCCCCGUAUCCCAAAUGUGCCCUACAGACCAGGGCUGACUCUGCCUGUGCCGCUGCCAAACCAGUCUUUCUGACCAUGUUUCUUUUCUUAUUCAUAGGGCAAACGCCAGUCUCACAGGAGGAGGAAAAAAUUGCCUGGAGAUUUGACUGCUGAGCCUGAGGAAAAUCUCCUGACUUUUCUUCCAUGCCUAUAAAAGAAGGCUAAUCCGCAAACUGAAAGCCAAGUCCUCUGCCCUUCCCGGUGCUGAGCCGUGACGCAGAGAAAAAUACUCUGCCAGCAGUAAGCACGUCGGAGCUGGUGCCUGAGCCCUGCUUUACACAGGAUGGGAAGGCAGCAAGUGAUGUGUUUCCAAAUGACCUCUGUCAGUGAAGAAAAAAAAGCAAAAAGUGAAAAAGAAAAAAGCAAAGCCCACAGCAGCCCCUGUUACUGGGAAAGGCCGCCUCAAGCACUGCCAAGGAAGAGCCGAGGGGAAGAGGAAGAGCAGAAAAGUGUCCUUGCACCACCAUCUAGUGGCUGCAGGUCGCUCUUGUUCGCCAAAAUAAAUCCAUGAGACCUUUCAUGAGGACAUUUUCUCCCCUGCUUCUUAAUGCCUUGCAACCUGCCAAACGAUGCAGCACAUUGCUGUACCUGUAUCAGAAAUGCUGGGCUGAGACACAGCUCCCAGAUGCGUUGUAUUUCAGUGAUACAGCAAUAAAAGCUCCAACUUCCCAUAAAUGU
This is a long non-coding RNA of Anas platyrhynchos (mallard), 3176 nucleotides long. RefSeq lists it as uncharacterized. NCBI's taxonomy places the organism in Eukaryota, Metazoa, Chordata, Aves, Anseriformes, Anatidae. The record is from RefSeq and is a predicted model, not a curated record.